Molecule: ribosomal RNA, 460 nt
Filed under: uncultured bacterium
Lineage: Bacteria
Description: partial 16S ribosomal RNA
Rfam family: Bacterial small subunit ribosomal RNA
Source: RNAcentral
CCUACGGGAGGCAGCAGUGAGGAAUAUUGGUCAAUAGACGAGAGUCUGAACCAGCCAAGUAGCGUGAAGGAUGACUGCCCUAUGGGUUGUAAACUUCUUUUAUAUGGGAAUAAAAUGUUCCACGUGUGGGAUUUUGUAUGUACCAUAUGAAUAAGGAUCGGCUAACUCCGUGCCAGCAGCCGCGGUAAUACGGAGGAUCCGAGCGUUAUCCGGAUUUAUUGGGGUUAAAGGGAGCGUAGGUGGAUUGUUAAGUCAGUUGUGAAAGUUUGCGGCUCAACCGUAAAAUUGCAGUUGAAACUGGCAGUCUUGAGUACAGUAGAGGUGGGCGGAAUUCGUGGUGUAGCGGUGAAAUGCUUAGAUAUCACGAAGAACUCCGAUUGCGAAGGCAGUUCACUGGACUGCAACUGACACUGAGGCUCGAAAGUGUGGGUAUCAAACAGGAUUAGAUACCCUAGUAGUC